CCUACGGGUGGCAGCAGUGGGGAAUAUUGCACAAUGGUGGGAACCCUGAUGCAGCGACGCCGCGUGAGUGAAGAAGUAUCUCGGUACGUAAAGCUCUAUCAGCAGGGAAGAAAAUGACGGUACGUGACUAAGAAGCCCCGGCUAACUACGUGCCAGCAUCCGCGGUACUACGUCGGGGGCAAGCGUGAUCCGGAUUAACUGGGUGUAAAGGGGGCUUAGACGGCUCUGCAAGUACGGAGUGAAAACCCAAGGCUUAACCAUGGGACUGGGCUGGAAACUGUGGAGCUUGAGUGCGGGAGGGGAAGGCGGAAUGCGUAGUGUAGCGGUGAAAUGCGUAGAUAUUAGGAGGAACACCGGCGGCGAAGGCGGCCUGCUGGACCGUAACUGACGUUGAGGCUCGAAAGCGUGGGGAGCAAACAGGAUUAGAUACCCCUGUAGUC
Molecule: ribosomal RNA, 440 nt
Filed under: uncultured bacterium
Lineage: Bacteria
Description: partial 16S ribosomal RNA
Rfam family: Bacterial small subunit ribosomal RNA
Source: RNAcentral